Molecule: unclassified non-coding RNA, 4964 nt
Filed under: Hevea brasiliensis (rubber tree)
Lineage: Eukaryota; Viridiplantae; Streptophyta; Magnoliopsida; Malpighiales; Euphorbiaceae
Source: RNAcentral
UUCAAGGUGGCUCGAAGCACUCUGAAGCAUUGACACUCCUUUAAUGAAGGGUAUGCAGUGACAACGCUUGUUAGACAUGUGAACAUGCCAAAAAUGAGUCUAAGAUGUGCUAGAGAAUUAAAUGCAUUCAAAAAAACAUAAAAAAGAAAAAUAUCUGAUGCACUUGUCAGUCACACUUUUUAUAUGUCAAACACUAGAAACUUUAUAAGUGUUUUUUGCAGCAAAAAUUUUUGUGGUGCAUAUGCCUUGGAAGAGGACCUACAAGAAACGUUAGAGUUUAUUGAAUCCUGAGGCUUUCCCUUUACCUUUUGAAAUACUUAUCUAGAGGGGCUUAUGAAGGCUUAUUCUUAGAAUUGCCUUUGGAAGAGGACCUGUAGAAUCUUGUGGGUCCUUUACAUUUUGACUCACUUAUCUAGUGUGGCAACUGGAGGCCAAUGCAUUAUUAAUAGUAGUAAUUUUCCCCAUGAAAGAUCAACAGCUUUGAGUAGAAAAAGAAUUGAAAGUUAGCAGAGUUCUGAUUUAUCUUGAUGUUCUGAUGGAAUAUUAUCAUUCAUUAGUGCCUUUGUGACAUUUGCUUAACCAAGUUUUCACAAGGAUUGGCAUUAUCUUUUCUUCUCUGUUAUCCUUUUCUUCAUACUUCUGAAUUCUUAUGGUUGAUUCUUAUGUAUAUGUUAUCAUAUUGCUUGAUUAUGGCAAUCAUGAGUUGUAGGAUGUAAGGAUCUUUAGAAUGACUCCUCAACCAUGUUUAGAUGGUUAAUAUGCAUUAGAAAAAUCAUUCUUCAGGUUGAAUAGAUUCUACAAUGAGUUAACAAUGAGCUAUUUCUCGUAGUUUAAAAGAGAAAUCACAAACUUGUCAAGUAGCCCUUACAAUGGGAUAGUGAAGAAAGGAAAUAACGUUUAAAGGGAUUUUCAGUUUCUUUGCUGGUGCUUCCAAGAACACAUUACCUUAUUGAUCAAAUCAGCUUGGUAUUCAGCAAAUAUCCAUAAACUUAUUUUAUUAUCAACUGGAUCUCUAACUUAUUAUGAGUGAAGUCAUCUGCAGCAUGCUAGGAAUAUCUAUGCCUAAAUAUCAUUUCUAUACUGUCUAUCUUUGUAUGAGAAAUAAGUGCAUAACAGGAUACCAGGAAUGGUCUCUGGAAGUGCCCUUGAUUGAAUUUGUCAAGGAUUACCUGGGAUGAAAUUGUUAUAAUUAAGUUUCAUCUUGUUUCACAAUGAAACAUUUUUGCAUUGCAUGAUACACAAUUUUACUCUUGUGUAAUGUGUUUUGGAAUGCAUUCUGUCAAGUAUUUUAUAUUCUUGUCACUCUGAACUUGCUAUUAUUUCAGAAAUGUCGUUUCUAAUCCUCUUUUUAUUUAGUAUGAAUUAUAACUGAUGAAGACAAUCCUUAUGCAAACCCAAUCUAUUGAUGGUCUCAUUUGGAAUCUACUUCACAGAUAGAACUGCUUAAUAGUGUUUGUCCUAAUUAAUUAGUUUGUACUAUUGUAUCCCUGCUAAACUCUGCUUCUUUCUAGAGUAAGUAUUGCUGUAUGGUUGAUUCUUCACUCUUAUGCAACUGUCAUGAUAUCCCCUAUUUGCAUAGGCAGCUGAUAUGUGAACUUGCUGGGGAUUCUCUGUUCUCUUUUAUCUCAUUCCUUUUCUGUUCUUAUUUACUUCUUACAAUAAAUUUAGCUUCUAAACCCCUUCUAUAGGUCUCUCUGUGAUCCAAAAUCUUAACCAAAAUUAAUAUGCAAGGCAUCAAGAGCCAACAUUUUCUGAUUAGCUUAGAUCUCAUUGGGGUGUGAUUCUAUUGUGUGACAUUUUGGAAUCUUACCAUUUGAUUGACCCUUAACAAAAUCAUUAUAUAUCUACCUCUCUUUCCAAUAAACUAUAUAAUUAUAAGGCAAAUGCUGUUUGCAUUUGGAUCUAGACAUGGUAAUCUAGGCUGCUUAUAUCCUAGACCUUACAUUAUAUAAUUGGUUGACUUCAUUAAGAACUUUUCUGUUAAUGCAGCGCCGUUCUGCUGAGCUACUAGUUCUUUGUCACUAUUACCUUGUAUUCUUUUAUGUACUGCAACUUAUUUCCCUUUUUAAUGUUUCCUGGGCCUCACAACCUUCUUGAGGUUUAGAGACGUAAUGCUUUGGUUUAACUGCUUUAUGGUAAUGGGGAAAGAUAGUGUACAAACUAGUUUUAUAAGUUGGAGAAUUCCACUGCAACUCGUUUGUUUGGGUUAGCCCCUCGCUAUGUUGAUGGGAAUUGCAAUGGAUGGUAAUCCACAAUCUACAGCUUCUUUGAGAAGACUAUUACCCUCUGUAUGUGGUAAUCUGUUAUCCAAGACAAUAAUGAAAGAAAGAACCAACUUCUGCUAUCCUUUUUUCAACUCUACUGAAAUGAUUUGCUAUUGCUAGGAAUAUGAUUCAAGCCUAACCAAACUGGGGCUCUAGAAGGUAGAAAUUUGGGGACUCUUUUUAAUUUUCAACAUUUGAGCAUUAUUGGCCACUCACAAGACUUCAUAUGUACUGUUAUCCUUGUCAUAUGCAGGAAGCAAUUUAGAGUUUUGAGGUUGACUUCUUUAAUAGUAUUUGUAGAUUAGCAACUUUUAACUUUGAAUUUCAGUGUUACUAUCCAAAUAGCAGGAUCAUCAUAGCAGGUGUCUGAACUUUAUGCUUGACAAAUAUUGCUAAUGUUUAUGCUCCAUUGAUUCUCUAUGUUUAAUUUUAAUAUAAUGGUUAUUUGGCAGUAACUGGAUUUAUGCGGAGGAUUUGAAGUUGUUAUUAGUUGAUGUAGUAUUUGCCCUGGAAUUUUUUGGAUGACUGUGGUAAUGAAAAGCCCUAAUUUACCUUGGCUCAGCUUACAUUGUGUGAAGAAAAAUUUUGUUGCUAUGAUUUGUCGUUUUAUGUACUAGUGUGCAUAGACAUUUAUGUUGAUUGCUGUUCAAUAAGUUGGCUUUGUUUCUUUAUUGACUUGUUGGUCUAGCAUAGAUGACAGAUCUAGUUAUCUGCUUAAUCAAGAGCUUUACGCUCUAAAAAGUAAAAAAUAAAAGAAUAAUAAUGACUCGUAUGCUCAGUUUGUGCUUCUCCAUUUGAUGUUUUGUCCAAUAUAGGGGUGUACAUGCGUUGGUUUGGUCGGGUUUAAUAUAUUUAUCCAAACCAAACCGACCAAGUCAGUUUUGAAAGUGUUAAAACUGAAACCAACAAAUCAAAUUAUAAAACCAAUAUUGUCGGUUUUUACAAUAAAUCGGGUUGGGUUCGGUUUUAACGCACACAUAUUUUGAAAUAUUCAAUUUCAAAUUAAAUUUCUUGAUAAUAAGUGUUUACAAAUUCAUUCACACACCAUAUAAAAUAUUUACUAGAGACAAAAACAAAAUAAAUAGUUAAGUUCCAUGAUAUACCAUAGCAUUCCUAUUCUCCAUGGAAAUUUCUAAAGCAAGAGGAAUAUAAGGAGUAGCAAAAUAGUAUUUUCCAAGCAUACAUACCAAAGAUUCUCCUAAGAUCAACCUAACCAUAAAGAGAUAUAAACAUCAAAAUAUCAAAAUACGAAAACCCAUUCUCUUCUUUCCAUCCACCUGGAAGUUUGAAAAAGAAAAAUUAAUACUAGGAAACUUAAAUAUGCAGCAAUAGUUUAGAAAAUACAAUAGACUUUGAAACCUUAGUCCACAUUAAAUAAUAGCUACUCAUUUACACAAAGUAGUCAUGUUUUAGUAAUAUGUAUAAAAACUUCAAAUGUAUAUUACACAAAGUUAGGAUAUAACUUCGGUUGGGUCGGUUUAGUAUGAUUUUUUUAUUAUAUCAAACCGAAACCCGAACCGAAAACUCGGUUUUCCUUUAUUUACAAAUCAUAACCAAUAUUUAAAUGUACAAAACCACAAAUUUCGGUUUGGGUUCAUUCGAUUUGUUCGGGUUUGUCGGUUUUUUGGUUUCCUUGUACACCCCUAGUCCUCUAUAUAUAUAUAUAUAUUAUUGUUCUGUAUAAGAAUUAAUCUGUAUUGCAUGGACUCUCCAUCAGGCUGAAAGUGCAAUAGCUGCUCUCAACUGUAGUGGUGUUGUUCUUGGAUCAUUGCCAAUAAGGAUAAGCCCAUCAAAGACACCAGUUAGGUCUCGUGCUCCUCGUCUUCCCAUGCAUUGAGGCAUCCUGGUGGCUUGGGUCCACGCUGCUUUUACCACCAGUUUCUAUAUAUCUAAAUAUAUAUAUACACACCCAUGUAAAGAUGUUUUUGAACGUCUCCUCUCUUUGUUUUAUAUAUACCUUCAUCCUUUGUUCCUUUGCAUGGGAUCUUUAUUAUGGUAGGAGUCAUUUUUUGGUUAUUCUAGCAAAUAUAUAGAGUUGGAUGGAACGUUGAGGCUCUGUAUGUAUUCACUUGUUAACGUGGAUUGGACUCAGUCCCAAAGAUGAAGCUCUUUGAGCAGUUUCUGAUAUUUUGACCCAAAAGAUCCUUUAUAUAAUCAAGUGAUUGGUUAUUUCGUAGGGUUGGAUAAUUAAUGGAGCUUCUUUUUCACCUUGUUGAGAUAGCUGGUUAUCAAUCAGUUGAUGAGUGCAUUAUUUGCUGCUUUAUUUUUUGUCGUCUCUAUUUUUGUUUGAUGGUAUUUCGUUCCUGUCUAACCAAGUGCCUUAUUACGCAUCUUUAGCUAACAAAAUUGAAGCUGUCACUUUCGAAUAAUGUGGAUGCAGAUGGCAGGGGAAUCCAGCUUUCCCAGGUAUGGUUUCUUUUGUUUGGGUUGUAGGAAAGGGUACUCUUUGCCAAUAAUUUUACUAUAUGAGGGCUCAGUUUCAUUGAAUAAUGUUUUAAAUCGUUAAGUUAAUCCAAGAUUAUAUUUUCGUGCUUAAAUGUAAUCAUUAUUGUGAUUACAACUCAAAAUAAAUACAUUAUCAUUGGUAAAACAGAGUAAAGAUAAUUUAGUAUAGCAGGGAGAGUUUGUGUCCGAAUUGGAUUUACAAAUGAAUUCUAAGAGAAUUCAGCUGAAAUAAAAUUAAAAAAAUAAAAAAUAAAA